GGGCUCGAUGAGUCUCGGGGCCACCUCCCACCCGUGUAUACCGUACCUUGUUGCUUCGGCGGGCCCGCCGCGCAAGCGGCCGCCGGGGGGGCGUCAAACCCCCCUCCCUAGGCGAGCGCCCGCCGGAGACACCAACGUGAACACUGUCUGAAGUUUUGUUGUCUGAGUUCGAUUGUAUCGCAAUCAGUUAAAACUUUCAACAAUGGAUCUCUUGGUUCCGGCAUCGAUGAAGAACGCAGCGAAAUGCGAUAAUUAAUGUGAAUUGCAGAAUUCAGUGAAUCAUCGAGUCUUUGAACGCACAUUGCACCCCCUGGUAUUCCGGGGGGUAUGCCUGUCCGAGCGUCAUUGCUGCCCUCAAGCACGGCUUGUGUGUUGGGUCGUCGUCCCCCCGGGGACGGGCCCGAAAGGCAGCGGCGGCACCGCGUCCGGUCCUCGAGCGUAUGGGGCUUUGUCACCCGCUCUUGUAGGCCCGGCCGGCGCUGGCCGACGCUGAAAAGCAACCAACUAUUUCUCCAGGUUGACCUCGGAUCAGGUAGGGAUACCCGCUGAACUUAAGCAUAUCAAUAAGCGGAGGAA
Molecule: ribosomal RNA, 576 nt
Filed under: Aspergillus sclerotiorum
Lineage: Eukaryota; Fungi; Ascomycota; Eurotiomycetes; Eurotiales; Aspergillaceae
Description: eukaryotic LSU rRNA
Rfam family: 5.8S ribosomal RNA (bases 192-345)
Source: RNAcentral